RNAcentral lists this long non-coding RNA (1102 nucleotides) under Nilaparvata lugens (brown planthopper). RNAcentral describes it as "uncharacterized LOC120355394". The record is from RNAcentral. Lineage: Eukaryota; Metazoa; Arthropoda; Insecta; Hemiptera; Delphacidae.
GCAGCCCGAGGAAAGCUGAAUCAUCCGCCCAUCCAGUCCUCUUCACCAACCUCUCAUGCCCGAGCCUCACUCGGCCUGGCGUCGCACAUCUCCCCUUGUCAUUUGUCGUUGCCUUACCACCGCCUGCUCCCUUCUGUCUUUCCCAUUCUCUCCCUAAUUCUGUUUGCUGUCGCACUUCUGCCUGUGCCGCGCCUUCAUCUGUGUCAUCGUUCCUUGACUUUGCCGCCACGUCAGUGCGACGUCAACUCGGCGCCGCAGCUUCGUCAGGCUACCAUCUUCCUCGAUUUUCUCAUCAUAUUCGUCAGUCUUUCCGAGUAUCACGAAUUUGCAUCAUGUCGGUCGAUAUCGAGCCGCAGGAGCUGGAUUUUGUCGCCCUUUUAACAUCGAAGUGUCGCGAACCUUGACUAUCAAGAACCCGAAAUCGACGCCUGUGGUCUUCAAAGUCAAGACGACGGCCCCUAAACAAUACUGCGUUCGUCCUAACGCCGGUCGCAUCCAGCCUGGCCAGGAUUUCGAUGUCACUGUUCUCUUGCAAGCGAUGAAGACAGACCCCCCCUCGAUGAGAAAUGUCGCGACAAGUUUCUCGUCCAGUCGGCAUCUAUCACCUCUGACAAAGAGUUUUCCAGUAUCGCUACAGUGCUCGACUCAACCGAUAAAAGUCACAUUCAAGAGCGGAAAAUCCGUGUUAACUGGCUAGCCCCUACCGCUAGUCAUGACCAAGAUACGACUCAGCUGCCAGCCGUUGUUACCCCUAAAAAACCGUCGAACGUCAAUGGGCGAUCCACUGAUACCCCUGCGCGGUCCUUAUCGUCCCCUAAGGAUUCUGCAAACUCGACUCCUGCCUCAGCUCCACCUCUCUCUUACGCGUCUGGCAAAAUAAAAGAUAACAGCAAGUUAGAUGAAAACAAGUCGACCAUUUCCCAUGCAACCACGACGGUUUCUGACUCGGCAACAUUGCCUACGAAGAGCUGAAAUCUAGCUCGCUCAGGCCGAGGCCCAGAUGCGAUGCUCAAAGAUAGCGGGCUUCGCCAGCGCAAUUCCAAACCGGCAGUUGAACAGAUAACAAGGGCUGAUAAUCAGGCCUCCCAAUCUGUUAAGCAGG